GAAUAGCCCUGAUGGGAGCGGCAUCCUUUUUCCGGUGACUUCGAGAGCCUCAGCCACCGGAAAAAGAUAGAACGGACAGCAGGAAUCCAA
This 90-nucleotide small RNA is filed under the name Flavobacterium cauense R2A-7. RNAcentral describes it as "Flavo-1 RNA". It matches the Rfam family "Flavo-1 RNA". Lineage: Bacteria; Pseudomonadati; Bacteroidota; Flavobacteriia; Flavobacteriales; Flavobacteriaceae. The record is from RNAcentral.